GUGGACGUGCCGGAGUGGU
This 19-nucleotide non-coding RNA is filed under the name Arabidopsis thaliana (thale cress). Lineage: Eukaryota; Viridiplantae; Streptophyta; Magnoliopsida; Brassicales; Brassicaceae. The record is from RNAcentral.